GUCACGGUGGGUUAGUGGUUAGCACGUUUGCUUCAAACCUCCCAGGGUCGAGGGUUCGAUUCCCACCGUGGCG
This is a non-coding RNA of Ameiurus melas (black bullhead), 73 nucleotides long. The record is from the annotation of a GenBank genome assembly. NCBI's taxonomy places the organism in Eukaryota, Metazoa, Chordata, Actinopteri, Siluriformes, Ictaluridae.